CUACGGGGGGCUCCAGUAAGGAAUAUUGGUCAAUGGACGAAAGUCUGAACCAGCCAUGCCGCGUGAAGGAUUAAGGUCCUCUGGAUUGUAAACUUCUUUUAUAUGGGACGAAAAAAGGUCUUUCUAGAUCACUUGACGGUACCAUAUGAAUAAGCACCGGCUAACUCCGUGCCAGCAGCUGCGGUAAUACGGAGGGUGCAAGCGUUAUCCGGAUUCACUGGGUUUAAAGGGUGCGUAGGCGGGCAGGUAAGUCAGUGAUGAAAUCCUGGAGCUCAACUCCAGAACUGCCAUUGAUACUAUCUGUCUUGAAUAUUGUGGAGGUAAGCGGAAUAUGUCAUGUAGCGGUGAAAUGCUUAGAUAUGACAUAGAACACCCAUUGCGAAGGCAGCUUACUACGCAUAUAUUGACGCUGAGGCACGAAAGCGUGGGGAUCAAACAGGAUUAGAUACCCGUGUAGUC
RNAcentral lists this ribosomal RNA (459 nucleotides) under uncultured bacterium. RNAcentral describes it as "partial 16S ribosomal RNA". It matches the Rfam family "Bacterial small subunit ribosomal RNA", at positions 339 to 795 of the family's 1533-position model. The record is from RNAcentral.